UGGGGAAUAUUGCACAAUGGGCGCAAGCCUGAUGCAGCGACGCCGCGUGAGGGAUGACGGCCUUCGGGUUGUAAACCUCUUUCAAUAGGGACGAAGCGCAAGUGACGGUACCUAUAGAAGAAGGACCGGCCAACUACGUGCCAGCAGCCGCGGUAAUACGUAGGGUCCGAGCGUUGUCCGGAAUUACUGGGCGUAAAGAGCUCGUAGGUGGUUUGUCGCGUUGUUCGUGAAAACUCACAGCUUAACUGUGGGCGUGCGGGCGAUACGGGCAGACUAGAGUACUGCAGGGGAGACUGGAAUUCCUGGUGUAGCGGUGGAAUGCGCAGAUAUCAGGAGGAACACCGGUGGCGAAGGCGGGUCUCUGGGCAGUAACUGACGCUGAGGAGCGAAAGCGUGGGGAGCGAACAGGAUUAGAUACCCUGGUAGUCCACGCCGUAAACGGUGGGUACUAGGUGUGGGUUUCCUUCCUUGGGAUCCGUGCCGUAGCUAACGCAUUAAGUACCCCGCCUGGGGAGUACGGCCGCAAGGCUAAAACUCAAAUGAAUUGACGGGGUCAUAGCUG
Molecule: ribosomal RNA, 562 nt
Filed under: uncultured bacterium
Lineage: Bacteria
Description: partial 16S ribosomal RNA
Rfam family: Bacterial small subunit ribosomal RNA
Source: RNAcentral